CCUGACAUUGAUGACACUUUCGAACAAAUUGAAUAGAAUCCCUUUCCAUAGUAAGCCAGUAAUAACCUGCUCGAAGAAUCUUCUUUGACAAGACAUGACCGUUCAUAUGCGACCCGCAUACUCCAGAGUGUAUUUCAACCAUGAUUGCCGAGGCUUCUCUUGCAUCUACACACCUCAAAAGUCCCAGAUCUGGGGUCCUCUUAUACAAGAUUCCCCCACUUAAG
Molecule: long non-coding RNA, 224 nt
Filed under: Capsicum annuum
Lineage: Eukaryota; Viridiplantae; Streptophyta; Magnoliopsida; Solanales; Solanaceae
Description: long non-coding RNA (CANN_LNC005678)
Source: RNAcentral